This 503-nucleotide ribosomal RNA is filed under the name uncultured bacterium. Its description in RNAcentral is "bacterial SSU rRNA". It matches the Rfam family "Bacterial small subunit ribosomal RNA", at positions 15 to 507 of the family's 1533-position model. The record is from RNAcentral.
GAUCAUGGCUCAGGAUGAACGCUAGCUACAGGCUUAACACAUGCAAGUCGAGGGGCAGCAUGAACUUAGCUUGCUAAGUUUGAUGGCGACCGGCGCACGGGUGAGUAACACGUAUCCAACCUUCCGUUUACUCAGGGAUAGCCUUUCGAAAGAAAGAUUAAUACCUGAUAGUAUGGUGAGAUUGCAUGAUAACACCAUUAAAGAUUUAUUGGUAAACGAUGGGGAUGCGUUCCAUUAGGUAGUAGGCGGGGUAACGGCCCACCUAGCCUGCGAUGGAUAGGGGUUCUGAGAGGAAGGUCCCCCACAUUGGAACUGAGACACGGUCCAAACUCCUACGGGAGGCAGCAGUGAGGAAUAUUGGUCAAUGGACGAGAGUCUGAACCAGCCAAGUAGCGUGCAGGAUGACGGCCCUAUGGGUUGUAAACUGCUUUUAUAAGGGAAUAAAGUGGGAGUCGUGACUCUUUUUGCAUGUACCUUAUGAAUAAGGACCGGCUAAUUCCGUG